Molecule: long non-coding RNA, 1270 nt
Filed under: Fukomys damarensis (Damara mole-rat)
Lineage: Eukaryota; Metazoa; Chordata; Mammalia; Rodentia; Bathyergidae
Description: lncRNA (ENSFDAG00000031307.1)
Source: RNAcentral
GCUCUGUUAUAUGCUGGCCCAAGGAACACCUCUUGCUUUACUUUGCCAUUUUUUUCAACUCCAGGGCUUUUGCACUGAACUACAUCUCCAAUCCUUAAAAAAACAAAACAAAACAAAACUUUCAUUUGCCCAAAGUGAUCUGAGGAUGAUUUUUCAAAAGUCUCCAGCACAGAGCUCGGCUUUGUUCUGAUUUUUUUCCCCAACAGUAGAUGUUCUCACACUCAGUCUCCCCUUGCAUGGAGAAUAUCGAGGAGACCAUGGAGCUACCGAGCGCCUCUGACUAUGGGCUGACAUCCCCGGGGGGUAUCGCAGCCCGCCCCCCAGAGCCCCUCGUGUUCCAUGACUGUCUUCCCAGCUCUUUCCUCAGUGCCUGGGCCUCACUGCGGCAUUGUCCCUUCUUUACAGUCCGUCCGGUUCCUGCCUUGGUCUACUGCCUGGUGUCUGACAUCCUGCUAGGCUCUUGUGGUGCCGCUCCACCCCUCCACCGUGCACCAUCGUGUCCUCCGCUCGACCUGCUGUUGUUCUGUCCCCUGCUCAUCCUGCUCCUCUCACUGGAGGAUUAUGGGUGAUCAUAUCCCAACAGCAAGAGGUGAUGGAGGAGCUAUCAUCUGCAGAGGAGAAGGAGCAAAGGGCUGAGUAAUCCCUCACUUCCAAUGAGAUUAGGGAUAUGUGUAAAAUGGGGGAAACAGUGCCAAAUUGUAUGGAAAACACCACCUGAAUAAGGCCGCAGCAGUGUAAGUGAUGAAUUGGUUUAACAACAAUGCAGUGUCACAUUUCUUCAAGACCCUCAAAAAGAGGCAAAAGCAAAUCUCCUUGGAUAGGUUCCUUGUUACAGUUGUAUGAAAAGCAAGAGUCCCUUGAGCCAGUAGAUAGCAGUGAUUCUGUUACUGACAGUGACAGCAUCCUUCACAUAACCCUUCUCUUGUCUCCCUCACAUUAGCCAUGAAGGUUUUCAAAGGUAAAUGUAGGUGAGUUUAUUUUUCUUUAUAUUUUGUAUCUUCUUUAUUAUUUUGUAUUAUAUCACAGUAUUGUAAGUAUUGUAAUCAUUUUUACAUGGAUACCUUUUGGGCUGUGAAAUGAAUCAUCUGAGUUUCCAUUAUUUCUUAAGAGGAAAUUUGCUUUGCUAACAAGUGCUUUGGAUUGCAAGCAUAUGUCUUCAAUUAAUUAUGUGUGCAAACCAAGGUUUUACUGUAUUAGAAAGGAAGAAAGUCUCAAGUGAAUAAUUUAAACUCUGUCCUGAAGAACCUAGAAAGAGGAGAGCAAAAUAAAC